UUCAGGAAUUGCAGAGAGAUUGGAGCUAGCUUUGGCAUGGAGUUGAGCAAAAGAAUAGUCACAGGAAUUUGGGUCUUCUAACUUGCAGCUAGGGUUUCGGUGUACAGAAGAUUCUUACCAAUGGUGAUAACAUGCAACAUGCUACAGGCAGGAAAUACAGUGGACGGUUGCUCGCUGGAGCUUGGCGUGAGUUCUUGCGAUGUCAUGGUGAGG
Lolium rigidum is the source of this 213-nucleotide long non-coding RNA. RefSeq lists it as uncharacterized. The record is from RefSeq and is a predicted model, not a curated record. The transcript has 3 exons. NCBI's taxonomy places the organism in Eukaryota, Viridiplantae, Streptophyta, Magnoliopsida, Poales, Poaceae.